UUGGAGAGUUUGAUCCUGGCUCAGGAUGAACGCUGGCGGCGUGCCUAAUACAUGCAAGUCGAGCGAACAGACAAGGAGCUUGCUCCUUUGACGUUAGCGGCGGACGGGUGAGUAACACGUGGGUAACCUACCUAUAAGACUGGGAUAACUUCGGGAAACCGGAGCUAAUACCGGAUAAUAUUUCGAACCGCAUGGUUCGAUAGUGAAAGAUGGUUUUGCUAUCACUUAUAGAUGGACCCGCGCCGUAUUAGCUAGUUGGUAAGGUAACGGCUUACCAAGGCGACGAUACGUAGCCGACCUGAGAGGGUGAUCGGCCACACUGGAACUGAGACACGGUCCAGACUCCUACGGGAGGCAGCAGUAGGGAAUCUUCCGCAAUGGGCGAAAGCCUGACGGAGCAACGCCGCGUGAGUGAUGAAGGUCUUCGGAUCGUAAAACUCUGUUAUUAGGGAAGAACAUACGUGUAAGUAACUAUGCACGUCUUGACGGUACCUAAUCAGAAAGCCACGGCUAACUACAGUGCCAGCAGCCGCGGUAAU
RNAcentral lists this ribosomal RNA (539 nucleotides) under Staphylococcus sp. RNAcentral describes it as "bacterial SSU rRNA". It matches the Rfam family "Bacterial small subunit ribosomal RNA", at positions 1 to 524 of the family's 1533-position model. Lineage: Bacteria; Bacillati; Bacillota; Bacilli; Caryophanales; Staphylococcaceae. The record is from RNAcentral.